GCAUAUCAAUAAGCGGAGGAAAAGAAACUAACAAGGAUUCCCCUAGUAACUGCGAAGUGAAGCGGGAAAAGCUUCAAAUUUAAAAUCUGGUGGUCUUCGGCCAUCCGAGUUGUAAUCUAGAGAAGUGUUACCCGCGUCGGACCGUGUACAAGUCUCCUGGAAUGGAGCGUCAUAGAGGGUGAGAAUCCCGUCUUUGACACGGACUACCGAGGCUUUGUGGUGCGCUCUCAAAGAGUCGAGUUGUUUGGGAAUGCAGCUCAAAAUGGGUGGUAAAUUCCAUCUAAAGCUAAAUAUUGGCGAGAGACCGAUAGCGAACAAGUACCGUGAGGGAAAGAUGAAAAGAACUUUGGAAAGAGAGUUAAACAGUACGUGAAAUUGCUGAAAGGGAAACGCUUGAAGUCAGUCGCGUUGGCCGGAAAUCAGCCUUGCUUUUGCUGGGUGUACUUUCUGGUUGACGGGCCAGCAUCAGUUUUGACCGGUGGAAAAAGUCCAAGGGAAUGUGGCAUCUUCGGAUGUGUUAUAGCCCUUGGUCGUAUACAUCGGUUGGGACUGAGGAACUCAGCACGCCGAAAGGCCGGGUCUUUGACCACGUUCGUGCUUAGGAUGCUGGCAUAAUGGCUUUAAUCGACCCGUCUUGAAACACGGACCAAGGAGUCUAACAUGCCUGCGAGUGUUUGGGUGGAAAACCCGGACGCGCAAUGAAAGUGAAAGUUGAGAUCCUUGUCAUGGGGAGCAUCGACGCCCGGACCAGAAGUUUUCUGACGGCCCUGCGGUAGAGCAUGUAUGUUGGGACCCGAAAGAUGGUGAACUAUGCCUGAAUAGGGUGAAGCCAGAGGAAACUCUGGUGGAGGCUCGUAGCGAUUUCUGACGUGCAAAUCGAUUCGUCAAAUUUGGGGUAUAGGGGGCGAAAGACUAAUCGAACCAUCUAGUAGCUGGGUUCCUGCCGA
Molecule: ribosomal RNA, 947 nt
Filed under: Psathyrella gracilis
Lineage: Eukaryota; Fungi; Basidiomycota; Agaricomycetes; Agaricales; Psathyrellaceae
Description: LSU rRNA
Rfam family: Eukaryotic large subunit ribosomal RNA
Source: RNAcentral